This is a non-coding RNA of Ictidomys tridecemlineatus (thirteen-lined ground squirrel), 71 nucleotides long. The record is from Rfam. Lineage: Eukaryota; Metazoa; Chordata; Mammalia; Rodentia; Sciuridae.
GGUGAUACAGCUCAGUGGUAGAGUACUUGCCUAUCAUGCAUAAGGCCCUGAGUUAAAUUCCAGUGUCACAA